GGGGAUAUAGCUCAGUAUGGUAGAGCGCUGGCCUUGCAAGCCGGGUCAUUAGCAGGAGUUCGAGUCUCCUUAUCUCCA
This 78-nucleotide transfer RNA is filed under the name archaeon. Its description in RNAcentral is "tRNA-Ala". It matches the Rfam family "tRNA". From Rfam's summary of the family: Transfer RNA (tRNA) molecules are approximately 80 nucleotides in length. The record is from RNAcentral.